Molecule: ribosomal RNA, 253 nt
Filed under: uncultured bacterium
Lineage: Bacteria
Description: partial 16S ribosomal RNA
Rfam family: Bacterial small subunit ribosomal RNA
Source: RNAcentral
UACGUAGGGGGCAAGCGUUGUCCGGAUUUAUUGGGCGUAAAGAGCGUGUAGGCGGCCAUACAGGUCAGCUGUGAAAACUCGAGGCUCAACCUCGAGACGUCGGUUGAAACCGUAUGGCUAGAGUCCGGAAGAGGAGAGUGGAAUUCCCGGUGUAGCGGUGAAAUGCGCAGAUAUCGGGAAGAACACCCGUGGCGAAGGCGGGUCUCUGGGCCGAUACUGACGCUGAGGAGCGAAAGCAUGGGUAGCGAACAGG